Molecule: non-coding RNA, 45 nt
Filed under: Schistosoma haematobium
Lineage: Eukaryota; Metazoa; Platyhelminthes; Trematoda; Strigeidida; Schistosomatidae
Source: RNAcentral
AUCCAGCUAACUAGUCUCAAAUAGAACGAAAUGCGCAUCAUGGAU